GAGUGCUUGCACUAUUUCGGACGUCGACGGGCGCACGGGUGAGUAACGCGUAUCCAAAUUUUCCCAUAACUAAGGGAUAACCUGCCGAAAAGGCAGACUAAUACCUUAUUGUAAUCCUUUGACGGCAUCAGAUUAGGAUUAAAGAUUUAUCGGUUAUGGAUGGGGAUGCGUCUGAUUAGCUUGUUGGCGGGGUAACAGCCCACCAAGGCAACGAUCAGUAGGGGUUCUGAGAGGAAGGUCCCCCACAUUGGAACUGAGACACGGUCCAAACUCCUACGGGAGGCAGCAGUGAGGAAUAUUGGUCAAUGGGCGAGAGCCUGAACCAGCCAAGUAGCGUGCAGGACGACGGCCCUAUGGGUUGUAAACUGCUUUUGUAUGGGGAUAAAGUCAAUCACGUGUGAUUGUUUGCAGGUACCAUACGAAUAAGGACCGGCUAAUUCCGUGCCAGCAGCCGCGGUAAUACGGAAGGUUCGGGCGUUAUCCGGAUUUAUUGGGUUUAAAGGGAGCGUAGGCCGGAGAUUAAGUGUGUUGUGAAAUGUAGACGCUCAACGUCUGACUUGCAGCGCAUACUGGUUUCCUUGAGUACGCACAACGUUGGCGGAAUUCGUCGUGUAGCGGUGAAAUGCUUAGAUAUGACGAAGAACUCCGAUUGCGAAGGCAGCUGACGGGAGCGCCACUGACGCUUAAGCUCGAAGGUGCGGGUAUCGAACAGG
This 713-nucleotide ribosomal RNA is filed under the name Prevotella melaninogenica. Its description in RNAcentral is "bacterial SSU rRNA". It matches the Rfam family "Bacterial small subunit ribosomal RNA", at positions 69 to 776 of the family's 1533-position model. Lineage: Bacteria; Pseudomonadati; Bacteroidota; Bacteroidia; Bacteroidales; Prevotellaceae. The record is from RNAcentral.